RNA transcript from Perca flavescens (yellow perch), 5454 nucleotides. It is a transcript of the gene named THO complex 2, with no coding region annotated. The transcript has 34 exons. Lineage: Eukaryota; Metazoa; Chordata; Actinopteri; Perciformes; Percidae. The record is from RefSeq and is a predicted model, not a curated record.
CCGUAAUAACAAAGCAUUCAGAGACAGCCUCAGUGUCCCACCAUGCAACAGUGAGCUAGCAGCAGCAGCUAACCACCACAUUUGACCCUGCGUGUGCCAUGAUGAAUUAGACAUCCGGGCUGUGCGUAUGGAAGAUGGCGACACUUAUCCUCCCUGGUGAAUGGAUCAAAAACUGGGAAAAAUCAGGAAAACACGAGUUUGUACAACUCUGCAAAGAACUUACAGAAAAAACAGAUCAUGGACAUGACAUUAGAGACAUACAGGCCGCCUUAUACGAGAUCUGCUGGCAAGUUGUACAUGGGAACCUGAAGUUGGAGCUUGUUGCCAGCGUCCUUGGGGACAUGAUGGAACUCCGAGAUGACAUGCCAUCAAUUUUAGCAGAUGUUUUCAGUAUACUAGAUUUAGAGACUGGUGCACUGGAAGAAAAAAACAAACGUGAACAUUACACACAACUGGUGGGAGCAUGUUUGUUUUUUGUUCCUGAGGCCAUCCUGAAAGAGAGGCUGGAUCCAGAAACCCUUGAAUCUCUAGGACUUAUAAAACAAGCCCAUCAGUUCAAUCAGAAGAUUGUAAAAAUCAAGACUAAACUAUUUUACAAGCAGCAGAAGUUUAACUUGCUAAGGGAGGAAAAUGAGGGCUAUGCCAAACUUAUCACAGAGCUUGGCCAAGACCUCUCAGGCAACAUCACCAGCCACCUUGUCCUGGAGAGCAUCAAGUCCCUCAUAGGAUGUUUCAACUUGGACCCUAAUCGUGUUUUGGACAUCAUCCUGGAGGUGUACGAGAGUCGAUCUGACCAAGAUGAGUUCUUCCUGUCUCUCAUCAAGUCCUACAUGUGUGAGCCACUCACCCUUUGCCACAUCCUGGGCUUUAAGUUCAAAUUCUACCAGGAGCCCAAUGAGGAAACCCCCAAGUCACUUUACCACAUUGCUGCUGCCCUGCUUCACCAUAACCUGAUAGAGCUGGAAGAUCUCUACGUACAUCUUAUGCCAGUAGAUGCCACCAUUAUAGAGGAACACAAACGAGAUAUCUCAGAGGCCAAGCAGAUUGCUCGCAAGCUGGUCAUGGUUGUGUUGCCCUCAGAGAAAAGUGAAGACAAAGACAAGGAGAAAGAAAAGGAGGAGGAGAAGAAUGAAAAGCCACCUGAUAACCAGAAGCUUGGGCUGUUGGAAGCGCUGCUUAGAAUUGGAGACUGGCACAACGCCCUAAGUAUUAUGGACCAGAUGCCGUCCUUCUAUGCUACUUCUCACAAGGCCAUUGCACUGGCACUCUGCCAGCUUGUGCACCUGACUGUGGAACCUCUUUACAGAAGGGCUGGCCUCCCGAAAGGGGCAAGGGGAUGUGUGAUGCAUCCACUGAGGAGCAAGCGAGCCCCUCGGCCUGCAGAGAGCUUCGAGGACCUACGCAGGGACACAUUCAGCAUGAUCUGCUACCUAGGUCCUCACCUCUCUCAUGACCCUAUCCUCUUCGCCAAGAUUGUGCGUCUGGGCAAGUCCUUCAUGAAAGAGUACCAAAGUGAUGGCAGACCUGAUGUCAAAGACAAAAUGGAAACAUUAUUGAGUUGUUUCCUGAGCAUUGCAGAUCAGGUCCUACUCCCUUCUCUUUCUCUGAUGGAGUGUAAUGCUUGCAUGUCUGAGGAACUCUGGGGUCUCUUUAAACUCUUUCCCUACCAGCACAGGUACCGGUUAUAUGGACAGUGGAAGAAUGAGACAUAUACCAGCCAUCCACUGUUGGUUAAGGUCAAAGCUCAGACUGUGGAAAGGGCCAAAUACAUAAUGAAGCGGUUGACCAAAGAGAAUGUGAAACAAUCUGGAAGGCAGAUUGGAAAACUGAGCCAUAGCAAUCCCACCAUCCUCUUUGAUUAUAUGCUGUCUCAGAUCCAAUGGUACGACAACCUAAUCGUUCCAGUGGUGGACUCCUUGAAAUACCUCACAUCCCUCAACUAUGAUGUCUUGGCCUAUUGCAUCAUUGAGGCUCUGGCAAAUCCCGAGAAGGAGAAGAUGAAACACGAUGACACCACCAUCUCCUCAUGGCUUCAGAGCCUGGCAAGCCUGUGUGGAGCCGUGUUCAGAAAAUACCCAAUUGAGUUGGCUGGCCUUCUUCAAUAUGUCACUAAUCAGCUAAAAGCAGGAAAGAGUUUUGACCUGUUGAUCCUGAAAGAGGUGGUGCAGAAAAUGGCUGGCAUUGAGAUCACAGAUGAGAUGACCUCAGAGCAGUUAGAGGCCAUGACCGGAGGGGAGCAACUCAAAGCUGAGGGUGGCUACUUCGGCCAGAUCAGGAACACUAAGAAGUCAUCACAGCGUCUGAAGGAUGCGCUGCUGGACCAUGAAUUGGCCUUGCCUCUGUGUUUACUCAUGGCCCAGCAACGAAAUGGUGUGGUUUUCUUAGAGGGUGGAGAGAAACACCUUAAACUUGUUGGCCACCUCUAUGACCAGUGUCAUGACACGUUGUUGCAGUUUGGUGGCUUUCUGGCCUCCAAUCUUAGCACUGAAGACUACAUUAAGCGGGUUCCCUCCAUUGACAUCCUUUGUAACCAGUUCCACACUCCACAUGAUGCUGCUUUCUUCCUGUCUCGGCCAAUGUAUGCCCAUCAGAUUUUGUCCAAGUACGAUGAGCUGAAGAAAACAGAGAAAGGCAACCGGCAGCAGCAGAAGGUACACAAGUAUGUGGCAGCCUGUGAACAGGUGAUGACACCAGUGCAUGAGGCUGUAGUGUCCCUCCAUCCAGCCAGGGUCUGGGACGAUCUUCGCCCUCAGUUCUAUGCCACCUUCUGGUCCCUCACCAUGUAUGACCUGGCCGUUCCACACUCUGCCUACGAGCGUGAGGUCAACAAGCUCAAGGUCCAGAUCAAGGCCAUUGAGGAGAACCCGGAGAUACCCUUGAAUAAGAAAAAGAAGGAAAAGGAACGCUGCACUGCCCUGCAAGAAAAACUGCAGGAGGAGGAGAAGAAACAGCUGGAGCACGUCCAAAGGGUUCUACACCGUCUCAAACUUGAGAAAGACAACUGGUUGUUGGCAAAAUCCACAAAGAACGAAACAAUAACAAAGUUCCUGCAGCUCUGUCUGUUCCCUCGCUGCAUCUUCUCUUCCAUCGACGCUGUGUAUUGUGCCCGUUUUGUCGAGCUGGUCCACCAGCAGAAGACGCCCAACUUCUGCACCCUCCUGUGCUAUGACAGGGUGUUCUCCGCCAUCAUUUAUACUGUGGCCAGCUGUACGGAGAAUGAGUCUCACCGCUACGGACGCUUCCUCUCCUGCAUGCUAGAGACAGUGACCCGUUGGCACAGCGACCGCGCAAUCUAUGAGAAGGAGUGCGUCAAUUACCCAGGAUUCCUGACCAUCUUCAGAGCCACAGGCUUCGAUGGCGGGAACAAAGCAGAUCAACUGGAUUAUGAGAACUUCAGGCAUGUGGUGCACAAAUGGCACUACAUGCUGACUAAAGCUUCGGUUCACUGCCUAGAGACAGGAGAUUACACCCACAUCCGGAAUAUUCUCAUCGUGCUCACCAAGAUCCUGCCCUGCUAUCCUAAGGUCCUAAACCUGGGCCAAGCGCUGGAGUGCCGUGUCCACAAGAUCUGCCUCGAGGAGAAGGACAAGAGGCCAGACCUCUAUGCCUUAGCAAUGGGUUAUUCAGGUCGGUUGAAAGGCCAGAAGGUGCAUAUGGUCCCCGAGAAUGAGUUUCACCACAAAGAGCAGCCAGCACGCAGUGCCACACCUGCCAAUCAACAGAACGGCCCAGGCAGCACAGGCAAGCCUGCCACCAGCACAAGCAAGACCGAGGAGGGGACGUCAGAGGAUGGUGAUCGGGGCAAGGAUAAAUCUCAGGGGACCACAAAGCCGGUGAACAAAGCCAACAGUGCAGCGGCCAAAGUGACCACCAGCAAUGGGAACGGUGCUCUUAACAGCACCAAAGCCAUUAAAGAACGAGACGACAAAGAGAAAAGUGGGAAGGAGAAAAAAGAGAAAAAGGAAAAGACACCAGGCAGCACUCCUGAGACCAAGGCGGAGAACCGUCGGGAGAAGCAGAGAGACGAGAGAGCAGGGAAGGAGGAGCGGGUGGCACGUGAGGGUAAGGAGAAGACCCCCAAGGCAGACAGGGAGAAAGUGAAGGCUGAGGAGAAGAGCGGCAAAGACGACAAGGCCAAAGCCGGCAACGGGGAGCCCAUGGAGCCGUCUAGGGAUCGCGAUGCCAUCAAGGAGUCCAAGAGCAAGGAGAAAGGAGACAGAGGAGCUGUGGCCGGGUCCCUCAAGUCACCAGUUCCCAGAUCGGAGUCAGCCGAAUCGGAGAGGGAUCACAAAAGACGAAAGCUCGACAGUCACUCUUCUCCGUCCCACUCCUCGUCUGUUAAGGUUAGUAUGGCUUGAGGAUGGCAGUGCCAGUUUCUUCUCUAUCUGCCGGAGUGUUCCCUGCCGUUGCACAUUCCAGCAGCCCCGAAGAUCACCAAGGAGUGUUGUCGUACAUGCAGGCAUGACGUCUGGAAAUUCCAACCAAAUCCAUGGGAGUUGGAAAGCAUUCCAUGGACAUCAGCAUGAUGUUUUGCAGAAUUUGGAGAAAACCCCUCAAAGACUUAGCCAAGAGAAUAUUGUGUAUAUUGAGUAUUUUCAUAUUGAAAUAUUUAUCUAUUUUCAUAUUAAUGAAAGCAGUCAGUGUGCCUUUGGAAGAAAUGUUUUUUUUUUUUUUUUUUUUUGGAGAAUUUCUAUAUAUCUUGAAGAUUUUUUGAGAAUAAUCUCCACGUGAAGUGAAAUGGCUUGCCAAAUCAAGAGCUUGCGCCUUCUCCAAUGGCAAUUUUUUUAAUUUAUUUUUUGAACACCGAGAGCCGUGUUUUACUACUUGAAAUGGUGUUCCAAGAUUUUUUUUUUUUCCCGUUUUUGCAAGCUGAGAAGAUAUCCUGGUUAAAGUGAUGUGAAGUAUUUUACUUUCCCCUCAACGUCUGAGUCGGAUGGUGUCCAGCCCACCACUCUGCUGUAUGAUCGCCUCUGCUGCAGCUGAGUCAUCAGUCCUCCUUCUAUCUCCGUUUGUUGAAACGGCCUGCACGCCACCUUCACAUCACGGUGCGUGUCCAGUCAGACCAGCCGGCCCCUACAACGCCAUCCCCACAAAGUACCAGCCAUCGGCAUCAACAGUCACACUACCUCCUGGCAAGCCACCAGCAACCAAGAUCAACGGAGAAAGUGAAUGUCACAGUUUUUAAUCAGCCAAAAGUUCAGAGGAAAGUAAGCCCGCCCCUACAAAGAGAGAGAGUGAGGGAAAGAGUGGGCGAAGCCUGGAUCGUCUGGAGCGUUGCCCAAACCUGGAAGCUUGUGAUAGGUCUUUAUUUUACCCUUCCACCAGAGAAAUAGGCUCCCUGUGUCCUAUCCAUUCCUGAACUGACAAUAGCAACGAACCCAAGGAGUCCACAUCCAAGCACCACGCCAACUACAAUUCAGUUUCCCGGUCCAAGAGCAGAGAGAGAGAGAUGGA